GAUGAAGAACGUAGCGAAAUGCGAUAAGUAAUGUGAAUUGCAGAAUUCCGUGAAUCAUCGAAUCUUUGAACGCACAUUGCGCCCCCUGGUAUUCCGGGGGGCAUGCCUGUCCGAGCGUCAUUGCAACCUUCAAGCGCGGCUUGUGUGUUGGGUCUCGUCCCGCGUGGACGGGCCCAAAAGGCAGUGGCGGCGUCCCGACAUGGUGCCCGAGCGUAUGGGAAUCCUCUUCCGCUCGAAUCGGCCCAUGCGGCGCUGGUCGUAACCAAAUUUUUUACCGGUUGACCUCGGAUCAGGUAGGGAUACCCGCUGAACUUAAGCAUAUCAAUAAGCGGAGGA
This 336-nucleotide unclassified non-coding RNA is filed under the name soil metagenome. Its description in RNAcentral is "partial contains 5.8S ribosomal RNA, internal transcribed spacer 2, and large subunit ribosomal RNA". The stretch from base 1 to 120 matches the Rfam family "5.8S ribosomal RNA", at positions 35 to 154 of the family's 154-position model. The record is from RNAcentral.